AAUGCUUCCAGGAAAAGCCUCUAAGCUUCAGGUAACAAGGGACCGUACCCCAAACCGACACAGGUGGUCAGGUAGAGAAUACCAAGGCGCUUGAGAGAACUCGGGUGAAGGAACUAGGCAAAAUGGUACCGUAACUUCGGGAGAAGGUACGCCGCUUGGGGUGAUCGGACUUGCUCCGUGAGCUCCGGGCGGUCGAAGUGACCAGGUGGCUGCGACUGUUAAUUAAAAACACAGCACUCUGCAAACACGAAAGUGGACGUAUAGGGUGUGACGCCUGCCCGGUGCCGGAAGGUUAAUUGAUGGGGUCAGCCGCAAGGCGAAGCUCUUGAUCGAAGCCCCGGUAAACGGCGGCCGUAACAAUAACGGUCCUAAGGUAGCGAAAUUCCUUGUCGGGUAAGUUCCGACCUGCACGAAUGGCGUAACGAUGGCCACACUGUCUCCACCCGAGACUCAGUGAAAUUGAACUCGCUGUGAGGAUGCAGUGUACCCGCGGCUAGACGGAAAGACCCCGUGAACCUUUACUACAGCUUUGCACUGGACUCUGAAUCUGUUUGUGUAGGAUAGGUGGGAGGCUAUGAAGCCGGAACGCUAGUUCUGGUGGAGCCAACCUUGAAAUACCACCCUGACAUAUUUGGGGUUCUAACCCAGGCCCGUUAUCCGGGUCGGGGACAGUGUAUGGUGGGUAGUUUGACUGGGGCGGUCUCCUCCCAAAGAGUAACGGAGGAGCACGAAGGUACCCUCAGCGUGGUCGGAAAUCACGCUUUUGAGUGCAAAGGCAUAAGGGUGCUUGACUGCGAGAGCGACGGCUCGAGCAGGUGCGAAAGCAGGUCUUAGUGAUCCGGUGGUUCUGAAUGGAAGGGCCAUCGCUCAACGGAUAAAAGGUACUCCGGGGAUAACAGGCUGAUACCGCCCAAGAGUUCAUACCGACGGCGGUGUUUGGCACCUCGAUGUCGGCUCAUCACAUCCUGGGGCUGAAGCCGGUCCCAAGGGUAUGGCUGUUCGCCAUUUAAAGUGGUACGCGAGCUGGGUUUAGAACGUCGUGAGACAGUUCGGUCCCUAUCUGCCGUGGGCGUUGGAGAUUUGAGGAAAGCUGCUCCUAGUACGAGAGGACCGGAGUGGACGAACCUCUGGUGUUCGGGUUGUCACGCCAGUGGCAUUGCCCGGUAGCUACGUUCGGACGGGAUAACCGCUGAAAGCAUCUAAGCGGGAAGCCUCUUCCAAGAUGAGAUCUCCCCGGGGACUCGAUCCCCCUGAAGGGUUGUUCAAGACCAGGACGUUGAUAGGUGGGGUGUGUAAGCGCUGUGAGGCGUUGAGCUAACCCAUACUAAUUGCCCGUGCGGCUU
RNAcentral lists this ribosomal RNA (1343 nucleotides) under metagenome. RNAcentral describes it as "bacterial LSU rRNA". It matches the Rfam family "Bacterial large subunit ribosomal RNA", at positions 1601 to 2925 of the family's 2925-position model. The record is from RNAcentral.